RNAcentral lists this long non-coding RNA (31605 nucleotides) under Eutrema salsugineum. Its description in RNAcentral is "long non-coding RNA (ESAL_LNC000284)". Lineage: Eukaryota; Viridiplantae; Streptophyta; Magnoliopsida; Brassicales; Brassicaceae. The record is from RNAcentral.
UGCAGAACCACACAACACAAAACAAAAUCAAGACAAACAAACGUACAAAUCAAGAACAGAAAACAACUCUUCAUCUCACUUCCUCUCUGUCGCAUGAGUAGUGGUCGUAGUAGUAGAGGUUGGAGCUGAAGAAUCAUGUUCUUUGUUUCCUUCAUCAGUACCAAGCCCUAAAGUGUGCUUAACCGCAUCAGUAGCUCCCAUAGCCAUUUGCUUCACUUGCUCACCGGUUUGGCCCAAGAUCCCACCGGUCUUGUUCUUACCAGCUUCUGCAGUCUCCUUGGUAUAUUCUGCUGCAUCUUGUGCCUUGUUCUUAAUUGUUUCUCCUGUCUCUGACAUGUAGCUUCCCGUUUUGUCCUUGGACUCUUGAGCUUUCUGUUGAGUUGUUUGUGCGGCUUGAGAUGCCUUGUCUUUAGCUGCUUGAGCUGUUUCAUGGGUCUUUUGUUGGGCUGAUUGGGCUGCUCCUUGAGUUUUGUCCUUAGCUACAUCUGUCUUCUCCCCCAUCGCUCUCAUAGCUUGUCCUGUCUUCUCCUAUGAUUUGACAUUGGAUUUACAUUCAAGCAAAGGUUAAUAGAGUAAUUAACUUAAAUAUGUAAAUAGAUUGUGGCUAUUGUGUUAUUGUCACUCCUAUUCAACCUGUCUCUUUCUUAUUAUUUCAUCAUCUGAAUUCCAAAAAAAAAAAAAUCAGCAUAGACACAUUGGUUGUCAACAAUCUUUUGUUGUUAUAUUAUCUAAUCAUGCAAAAAACAGACCUAUGCUUUUCUUUAUAUAAGAAAAGUUACUCAUGAGAAAACAUGUUUUCAGAAAUAUAAAGAACAGACUGUUUUAUCAAUUAAAGAACACGAUACGUCGUAAACUAGUGGCUUCAUUCAUUUUUCUAUGACCUAACUGACACCAUUUUUAUUUACUUUAUUAAUUGAAAAAUAUUAUUGUAAUAUAGCAGAUGAAUCAUUUAGUAUACCUGAGUCUGGCCUCUGGUCUCACCAGCUUUGAAACCCUGUUCUUGAUGAGAAGCCAUUUUCUCUCGUCGAAAAAUUCGAAACCAAAAUAUUUAGUGGAAACUCGAAAGGCUGAUUGAUGAUCAAAAGCUGUUUAUCAGAACCUGUGUUGGAAGAUAUCUCCGACUCUUAUGUUUGAGACAUUUUAUAGCAAGUCUUGGUCGGACCGAGAACAAGAGACAUGUUGCAGAUGUCUCGACACGUGUGAAGCACGCGUCGCGAUUAGGUUAGCGAAACGAAGUUCGAAACUUGGAGUAAUGUGCGAGUGUUGAAUGUUAGGUUAUCUUGUUUUUGAUGACGACCUAUGUAGAGGUGCCACGCUAUAAUAAAAUAAUGUGUUACGGAAGAUGCUAGAUACGUGGCGAGUCACGUACAUGGAUUUUAUUUACUUAAUGCAUUACAAUAUUUAUACAAAGACUUAGGUAGUUACGUUCUUUAAUAAGAAAACAAAGACUUAUUAUUACGCUAAAAUUUGUUAUUCUAUCUGUUGCUCACCUCUGUUUUGGAGCUCAUGUAUUUCUAUUCAGUAAUCAGUAAUCAGUCUCUGCUACUCUGUUAUUCGGAGACAAACUCCGUUUCAAAUUAUUUUCUUUUUUUGGGUUAGUGAUACUCAGAUGAAUAAGAAAAGUUAUAUGAGUGAAAAACAAAAAUUGCUUUCCAUUUUAUUAUCCAAAACAUUCCAUCAUUAUCAUUACCGAAAAGAAAAGUUGGGAUUACAAUGUAAAACAAAACAACAUAAAAUUAUUAUAAUUUACUACGGAGCACGACUUAGACCAUCAUGCAAUAUGUAGAUUUGAAUUUAAAUUGAGAUACAUCAACGACACUAUUACAAACCUCUCGACUAUGUAUAUAUGUUCUUAUCCGAUUAUAAUUAUCAAUGACUUUUUUUAAUGAGAAUUUGGUUAUGUAAAUUUUAAAUCAUCAUUAGUAAUAUCAUUUCAUCAAUAAAUUUCUGUUUUAUUAUAUUUUCAUACGUAAAACAUUCAUUUAACACGGCGAACCAAUACCUGAUCUAUUCCGGUCCGGACUUAAUUGAAACCGACUAUAUAAACCAAGUGUAAUAAAACUGUCCAAGUUCAGAUAUGUGUUUAUGUGGAUCAAUGCAAAUUUACAUUUGGAGUUUUGGAGAGUUUCUACUUUAUCCAGAUGUUCUUUAGAAAUGGUUCAACUGCACCAAUACACAACAAAUCAGGAAAAUUUCUUGAUGUUUCCACCUUCCAUAUCCGGCACCAAAUAGAUUAAAUAUGAUCAUUGAAUUUAUCUUUUUGAUUUACUUAACCAGCUUGCUAAUUGGAGACAUUCUACACAGACCAAAUACUUCAAAGAAAACACAAAUUAAUGUCCAAAAUAUUUAGGUACAAGAAACUUCACGUUCUCCAUACUUAACAAGACCGAUGUAUAAUGGCCAUUUUACUCAAUAAACUUUGAUUGUUUUCCCAUUUAAAUUGUUUUAUUUAUAUAUUUUGUUUGUUUAAGCUUGUAAAAACGUAUAUAGGAGAACUAUAUAGUCUCGUAGGCUAUAAUCUCAAUCAUCAAUUCCCCUUGUAAUAUUCAUGAAUCAUUUUAUUAAUAGUUAAUAAAUCAUUUUUUUUUAAGAAUGUAAAAUUUAUUCAUCAAAAAACGUCUUUACAAAGAAUACUUAUGUGGUUCUAAAAGAUUGAAAAAAAUUGAAAUCAAAACAACAUUAGAUUAGAAAUUUGUGUUAGCUCGACUCUGAAACUUCAAAUUAGAUUAGAAAUUUGUGUUAGCUCGACUCUGAAACUUCAGCGGAUGAAGAACCACCAAUGUUAGACCAUCAUUGUAUCUGGUACCACUCAUCAUUUGGAUGGAAGAAACUCUGUUUCACACUCCCUUGUCGAUAAAGCGAAUUAGCUGGAGAGGUGAUUGUGGUUGAUCACCAUGAACUCUUCCAUUUCGCUCACGCCAAAUAGUGUGUACUGCCAGUUGGAAGACAUAUCUGAAUAGGAAUAGAGGGGUUGAACUUAGCGUUGAGUCAGAGAGGAGAAAAACCAGACUAUCCCAAUCUAUGGAGAAGCUAUCGAUGAGUAGAUUGGACGCAAGAUUGGUCCAAAUCAAUUUGUUUUCUUUUUUAAAGCUUCGCCUUUCUGUUUUAUUCUCUAAAGUUCAUAAGUGAAAUAUUUUUUCUUUUGUGUUCUUGUUAUUUAGAGUGUAUGUGAAUCAAACCACUUUGGGUCAUGGGAGUAAAGCCUUGAUCCAUGCGAGGAAAAUCUCUUAGAUCAAGUCCUUUGUCCAUUGAUAUAUUUGGACCUUAAAGUGUAUUAUUUAUCAACAUUAACUUCAUCCAUCAAUAACUUUAAAUCUUUAUGUGCUAUAAGUUUGAUGGCUUCUAAUCUUACAUCAAAUCUCGCAUAGGAGAAGAUAUCGAGCAAACUUUAUGACUUCUUUGCUUCUAACGAUGAAGAAAACAAAUGUAUAUAGUGAUGACAGAAAAAGUUUCAAAAUUAAGAAGAAACUAUAUGGCUAUUAUCAUUUAAUAUUGAUGGUAAAGUUAUUGUGCUUUGGAUACCAGUUACACGUGUAGACGAUAAUUUAGAACUCUUUAAUUUUUAAAUAAUUUGCAAAUAAAAGACCACAGUAAAAAAAAUCACCAUAAAUAAAUGAUGUUAGAAAAAACCAUUAAUAUAGAAAUCCAACAAAAGUAUUUUUAAGAAAGAAAUAUAUAGAUCAUAUAUAUAUAUAUAUAUAUUAUUAGAUUAUCAUUGAAAUCUAAACACUUUAUAUUAAGAAAGAAAAACUGAACACAGAUUUUUGUGACAUAUUAGAUGGAAAGUGUAUUAAAGUGUUUAGACAAAACUAAUUAGUAAUAAUAAGAUAAAAGUUAUUAAUUCAUUAAAACAUAUUUGAUGAGGUGCUAAGUGUUUUCUUUUAUUUUAUAUAUAUAUGGUAUUCUUGUGCAUCUAAUAGAAUAAGAUCUAUGGAUUGUGUUCCACCCAAUUAAGUUUUUUUUUUUUUCUGUAAUUCGUCAGUUAUGUGAAAUAACUGACAAAUAUUAUUAAUUGUUUUAAAUAAAUUAUGCCUCUGAUAAAGAUUUUGUUUUGAAAACAUUUUCUACCCAAUUAGUGAUAGUAAGAUUUCUAACUUAAUUUAGGGAUGUGGUCUAUUUUUUCCUAAAAAGCAAAUAAGUAAAGACUCAUUUGUUGUAUAAAUAUACAAUGUCUUGCCUUACCUUCUCUUAUAUUUUCCAUCUCUCAAAGCUUCCGAGAUAAAUUAAAAAAUACAGUUGAAAAACAAGAAAUUCUUCUCGUCAAAAAUGGCAUCUGGUAUGUUUUUUCCUUGUUGUGAUUAUUCAUGCUUCUUCCAUUGUUAUCAAAAUUGCUCGACUAUUUACUCGUUACAUAUUUUCUGCGUGAAACUAAUUCGUAAAUUUACGUAUGAUAACCACAUAUAUAUAUAGAGAGUAGAGUUAUGAACAACGUGUACAUUGUGGAGCCCAUAGGAGUUCAUAAAGCCACUAUAGUCUGGCUGCACGACAUCGGGCUCAAAGGCGUCGAGUAACACUCUCACUGUCUCCCAUGCUUUGUUUUGUAUUGUUUUAUAUGCUCUCUUUUUUUCCUAAAAUAUAUGCUCUUUUGUUUUCAAAACUCUCGAAUUUUGUACAUUUCCUCUCUAUUUUCUUUUCUUGUUAGAUAAUAAUAAGUUUGUUUCACUAAAGUUGUAUAUACAUUACAUAUUAUACACACUAUAUAUAUUUUAAUUAAUCUAUUAUGUAUGCAGCUCAGUUCAGCCUCUGCAAAGUUUGGGUCUUCCCAAUGUAAGGAUCCAUACAGAUACAUGUGUUUGCCAUGAAUUUAAUUUCUUUUUAUAUAUAGCCACAAUGGAAACUAUGAAUUUUCUAAUAAAAAUAUAUGAUUUGGCAUAGAUAAAAUGGAUUUGUCCGACUGCUCCUACACGCCGUGUUACUUCUUUGGGUGGAGAAGAAACCACUGCAUGUACGAUUAAUUGGCUAUAGAUAUACAUAUGUUAUUUUGUUUCUUCUAAAUCAGUAUUUGAUGUCUCUAAAAUAUUACUAAUUAAAAUGGAAAACUAAUAGUACAGUAUUCAUAAUCCUUUUAUGGUGAAUCAGGGUGCGAUAUCACAAAAGUUUCAGAGAGCAUACAUCAUGAUUUUGAAGCUUUAGAUAAUGUGAAUUCAUUUGUUGCUGGCCUUUUCUCUUCCGAACCAGAACAUGGUAAUUCGGAAUUAUCCACACUUAACAUGCAUAGUUUAGACUAUCUAUACAUCAAAUACAUAUAUAUGAUUAAAUAAUUAAUACUUUAAUGUUGAUUUUGGUAUAGUUAUUAAAGGAGUGGGAGGUGUCGGCUUGGGUGCAGCACAAGCUCUCUACUUUGCGAGUAACUAUGCCUUUGGACGAGUCACCAUAAACCUAAAAAUUGUUAUAGGGAUCAACGGUUGGCCCUGAUUAUGUAUAUAUGUUCUUAUCCGAUUAUAAUCAUCAAUGACGUUUUUAAUGAGAAUUUGGUUAUGUAAAUUUUGAAUCAUCACUAAUAAUGUCAUUUCAUCAAUAAAAUUGUGUUUUAUUAUAUUUUCACCAAUCUUUACAUCUAGUAGUUGAAUCUACCAAAAUUAUUCACUUAACACGGUGAACCAAGACCUGAUCCAUUCAGGUCCAGACUUAAUCGAAACCGAAUUUAUAAACUAGAUGUAAUGUAAUAAUUAAAACUGUCCAAGUUCAGAUAUGUCUUUGUUUGGAUCAAUGCAAAUUUACCUUUGGAGUUCAGGAGAGUUUCUACUUUAUCCAGAUGUUCUUUAGAAAUGGUUCAACUGCAUCAGUACGCAACUGAUCAGACAAAUUUCUUGAUGCUUCCACUUUCCAUAUCCGGCACCAAAUAGAUUAAAUAGGAUCAUUGAAUUUAUUUUUUUGAUUUACUUGAACCAGCUUGCUUGGAGACAUUCUACACAGACCAAAAACUUCAAAGAAAAAACAAAUUCAUGUCCAAAAUAUUUAGGUACAAGAAACUUCGCAUACUUAACAAGACUGAUGUAUAAUGGCCAUUUUACUCAAUAAACUUCGAUUAAUUUCACAUUUAAAAUUUUUUUUUUGUUUAAGCUUGUAAAACCGUAUAUAGGAGAACUAUAUAAUCUCGUAGGCUAUAAUCUCAAUCAUCAGUUCCCUUGUAAUAUUCAUGAAUCAUUUUAUUAAUAGUCAAUAAAUCAAAUUGUUUUAUUUUUUAUAAAAAAAAUGUAAAAUUUCAUCAAAAAAGCGUUUUUACAAAGAAUGCUUAUGUGGUUCUAAAAAAUUGAAAUCAAAGCAAAAUUAGACUAGAAAUUUGUGCUAGUUGGACUCUGAAACUUUAGCGGGUGGAGAACCACCAAGUUAGACCAUCAUCGUAUCUGGUACCACUCGUCAUUCGGAUGGAAGAAACUCUGUUCUGCACAAGGGAACAUUCCCUUGUCGAUAAAGCGAAUUAGCUGGAGCGGUGAUUGUGGUUGAUCACUAUGACCUCUUCCAUUUCGCUCGUGCCAAAUAGUGUGUACUGCCAGUUGGAAGACAUAUCUGAAUAAGAAUAGAGGAGUUGAACUUAGCGUUGAGUCAGAGAGGAGAAGAACCAGACUAUCUUAAUCUGUGGAGAAGCUAUCGAUGAGUAGAUUGGACGCAAGAUUGGUCCAAAUCAAUUUUUUUUCUUUUUUAAAGCUUUGUCUUUCUGUUUUAUUCUGUAAAGUUUAUAAGUGAAAUUAUUUAUUUUUUUGUGUUCUUGUUAUUUAGAGUGUAUGUAAAUCAAACCACUUUUGGUCAUGGGAGGAAAUCCUUGAUCCAUCCCAGAAAAUCUCUUAGAUUAAGUCCUUUGUCCAUUGAUAUAUUUGGACCUUACACAAUCUAAGUGUAUUAUAUAUCAACAUUCUCUUCAUCCAUCAAUAUAUGUAAUUUUAAAUCUUUAUGUGCUUUAAGUUUUGUGGCUUCUAAUCUUACAUCAAAAUCUCGCAUAGGAGAAGAGAUCGAGCAAGAUUUACGACUUCUUUAUUUCUAACGAUGAAGGGACAAAUGUAUAUAGUGAUGAUCGAAAAAGUUCCAAAAUUUAGAAGAAACUAUAUCGUUAUUAUCAUUUAAUAUUGAUGGUGAAGUUACUGUGCUUCAGAUACCAAUUACACGUGUAGAAGACAAUUUAGAACUCUUUGAUUUUUAAAUAAUUUGAAAAUAAAAGACCACAAUCUUUUAAAAAAGUCACUAUGUUGGAAAAAACCAUUGAUAUAGAAAUCCAACAAAAAUACUUUUAAGAAAGAAAAAUAUAGAUCAUAUAUCAUUAGAUUAUCAUUGAAAUCUAAAAACUUUAUAUUAAGGAAAAAAAAACUGAAUACAUAGAUUUUGUGACAUUUUAUAUGGAAAGUGUAUUAAAGUGUUUAGACAAAACUAAUUAGUAAUAAUAAGAUAAAAGUUAUAAAUUCAUUAAAACAUAUUUGAUGAGGUGCUAAGUGUUUUCUUUUAUUAUAUAUAUGGUAUUCUUGUGCAUCUAAUAGAAUAAGAUCUAUGGAUUGUGUUCCACCCAAUUAAGUUUUUUUUUUGCUGUAAUUCGUCAGUUUUGUGAAAUAACUGACAAAUAUUAUUAAUUGUUUUAAAUAAAUUAUGCCUUUGAUGAAGAUUUUGUUUUGAAAACAUUUUCUACCCAAUUAGUGAUAGUAAGAUUUCUAACUUAAUUUAGGGAUGUGGUCUAUUUUUUCCUAAAAAGCAAAUAAGUAAUGACUCAUUUGUUGUAUAAAUAUACAAUGUCUUGCCUUACCUUCUCUUAUAUUUUCCAUCUCUCAAAGCUUCUGAGAUAAAUUAAAAAAAAUACGGUUAAAAAACAAGAAAUUCUUCUCGUCAAAAAUGGCAUCUGGUUAUGUUUUUUCCUUGUGAUUAUUCAUGCUUCUUCCAUAGUUAUCAAAAUUGCUCGACUAUUUUCUCGUUACAUAUUUUCUGCGUGAAACUAAUUAGUAAAUUUACGUAUGAUAACCACAUAUAUAUACAGGUAGUAGAGUUAUGAACAACGUGUACAUUGUUGAGCCCAUAGGAGUUCAUAAAACCACUAUAGUCUGGCUGCACGACAUCGGGCUCAAAGGCGUCGAGUAACACUCUCAUUGUCUCCCAUGCUUUGUUUUGUAUUGUUUUAUAUGCUCUCUUUUUUCUCGUAAAAUAUAUGCUCUUUUGUUUUUAAAAUUCUCGAAUUUUGUAUAUUUCCUCUCUAUUUUCUUUUCUUGUUAGAUAAUAAUAAGUUCGUUUCACUAAAGUUGUAUAUACAUUACAUAUUAUACACACUAUAUAUAUUUUAAUUAAUCUAUUAUGUAUGCAGCUCAGUUCAGCCUCUGCAAAGUUUGGGUCUUCCCAAUGUAAGGAUCGAUACAGAUACAUGUGUUUGCCAUGAAUUUAAUUUCUUUUUAUAUAUAGCCACAAUGGAAACUAUGAAUUUUCUAAUUAAAAUAUAUGAUUUGGCAUAGAUAAAAUGGAUUUGUCCGACUGCUCCUACACGCCGUGUUACUUCUUUGGGUGGAGAAGAAACCACUGCAUGUACGAUUAAUUGGCUAUAGAUAUACAUAUAUUAUUUUGUUUCUUCUAAAUCAGUAUUUGAUGUCUCUAAAAUAUUACUAAUUAAAAUGGAAAACUAAUAAUACAGUAUUCAUAAUCCUUUAUGGUGAAUCAGGGUGCGAUAUUACAAAAGUUUCAGAGAGCAUGCAUCAUGAUUUUGAAGCUUUAGAUAAUGUGAAUUCAUUUGUUGCUGGCCUUUUCUCUUCCGAACCAGAACAUGGUAAUUCGAAAUUAUCUACACUUAACAUGCAUAGUUUAGACUAUCUAUACAUCAAAUACAUAUAUAUGAGUAAAUAAUUAAUACUUUAAUGUUGAUUUUGGUAUAGUUAUUAAAGGUGUGGGAGGUGUUGGCUUGGGUGCAGCACAAGCUCUCUACUUUGCGAGUAACUAUGCCUUUGGACGAGUCACCAUAAACCUAAAAAUUGUUGUAGGGAUCAACGGUUGGCUUCCUAGCUGGACGUAAGCUCCUCAAGCCCUGAUGUAGUUUUUCACAAAAUUUUAUUUAACUAUUCAUAUAUACCUUUUAAUAAUGGAAAACCAAAAUCGAUCAAUAAUCUUGUAGGACCUUACGAAAUGAUAUGUAUUCUGCCUUUGGGACUUUUGUUCGUGCCGGAUCGCUAAUCUUACUUACNNNNNNNNNNNNNNNNNNNNNNNNNNNNNNNNNNNNNNNNNNNNNNNNNNNNNNNNNNNNNNNNNNNNNNNNNNNNNNNNNNNNNNNNNNNNNNNNNNNNNAAUUACUUUUUUCACUCAUAUAUUUUAUAGUUAUUACUAUCUUUUAACAUAUUGUUCUUCUCUGAAUUUUGGGUUAUGUCAUGUGCAGGGAUCACGUCAUGAAUGAUCUUCGCGUAGCACUCCCGCAAUAUUUUAGGCUCUGAUGAGGAUAUAGCUAAACUCUGCAUCCUGAAAAGAAUAUGGAAUAAAACUAUCGUAAAACUAUAGCUUUUAUUUUUAUUUUUUUGCUAUUCAUAAAUUAUAUAAUUGUUAAUGUAUUUUUUUCAUUUUUAUCCUUCAAAAACUGAAGUUUAUUUUCAGUUUUCUGUUAUAUCAUAUAUCAUAUAAAAAGGUUAUUAUAUUAUCAAUGGUGAACUAACAAAAGAGGAAGAAGUAAAAUUAGUGUAAUAACAUAUUGAUUUAAAAAAGUGGGUUAGUGGUAUAAUAUAGACAUACAUAUAGUGUAGUACUACCAAAAUGUAACAUAUCCAAUUAAUUAACUAUCAAUUGAGAUUGUACGUAAUGGUGUGCCAUACAAACUACCAAUUAAUCGCUCUUUUCCCUCUCUUUUGAUGUGCCCUAUUCCCUCUUUUUGUGUCUGCGCCCUUUCUUCUCUAAUAUUGUCUAUUGAGAUUGUACGUAAUGGUGUGCCAUACAAACUAUUUAUACUAUUUUUAGAUUGAUUUUUAUUAUUUUUCGUAACGCAUAAUUCCAUUCAAUAUACAUUUCUUAUAAAUGAUUUAUGUAUGACAUGACAAUAUUUGUUAAAAUAUUUAGAACGUGUUAUAUCAAUACAACAUAAGCUAAUAUUGUUGUGUUCACAUGUGUAUACUAAUCAAAUUCAGAAUCACAACAAAUAUAAUUCUAUUCACCGGAUAAAACAAGUCUUCAAUUAACCAAACCAUUACAUAACAAUGUACGUAUAAAUGGAUUUAAACUCAAUAAGCAACAACGAAAAUCAACAUGCAGAAUCACACAACACAAAACAAAAUCAAAACAAACAAACGUAUAAGCAAGAACAGAAAACAACUCUUCAUCUCACUUCCUCUCUGUCGCAUGAGUAUUGGUAGUAGUAGAGGUUGGAGCUGAAGAAACGUGUUCUUUGUUUCCUUCAUCAGUACCAAGCCCUAAAGUGUGCUUAACCGCAUCAGUAGCUCCCAUAGCCAUUUGCUUCACUUGCUCACCGGUUUGGCCCAAGAUCCCACCGGUCUUGUUCUUACCAGCUUCUGCAGUCUCCUUGGUAUAUUCUGCUGCAUCUUGUGCCUUGUUCUUAAUUGUUUCUCCUGUCUCUGACAUGUAGCUUCCCGUUUUGUCCUUGGACUCUUGAGCUUUCUGUUGAGUUGUUUGUGCGGCUUGAGAUGCCUUGUCUUUAGCUGCUUGAGCUGUUUCCUGGGUCUUUUGUUGGGCUGAUUGGGCUGCUCCUUGAGUUUUGUCCUUAGCUACAUCUGUCUUCUCCCCCAUCGUUCUCAUAGCUUCCCCUGUUUUCUCCUAAGAUUCGAUAUUGUAUUUAAAUGGGACAAACGUUAAUAAAGUAAUUAACUUACAUAUCUAAUCAGUCGAUACAAAAAUACGAAAUCAGAUAAAUACUUGCCUUUUAUAAUGAAGUUACACAUUAUAGUAAUAUCAUCAAAAAACCAAGCAAUAGAUUGUUUUAUCAAAUAACACGCUAUAUCGUAUAAUAGUGGCUUCACUCGUUGUUAUUUUUUUACCUAAUUAAGAACAUCAUUUUAUUUUAUCUAGAGUUUUUGCAAAAAUGUUUUAAACUAAAUCAUUUACGAAAUAUUUUAAUAUUGCAUAAGAAAUCAUUUAGUACCUGAGUCUUGCCUCUGGUCUCACCAGCUUUGAAACUCUGUUCUUGAUGAGAAGCCAUUUUCUCUCGUCGAAAAAUUCGAAACCAAAAUAUUUAGUGGAAACUCGAAAGGCUGAUUGAUGAUCAAAAGCUGUUAUCAGAACCUGUGUUGGAAGAUAUCUCCGACUCUUAUGUUUGAGACAUUUUAUAGCAAGUCUUGGUCGGCCCGAGAACAAGAUACAUGUUGCAGAUGUCUCGACACGUGUGAAGCCACGCGUCGCGAUUAGGUUAGCGAAACGAAGUUCGAAACUUGGAGUAAUGUGCGAGUGUUGAAUGUUAGGUUAUCUUGUUUUUGAUGACGACCUAUGUAGAGGUGCCACGCCAUAAUAAAAUAAUGUGUUACGGAAGAUGCUAGAUACGUGGCGAGUUACGUACAUGGAUUUUAUUUACUUAAUGCAUUACAAUAUUUAUACAAAGACUUAGGUUGUUAGACCAGCGCCGAUGGUGAAAAGUUUUUAGAAAUAUUUUAUCUAAUAUAAUAUUAUUAUUUUUAUGUAAUUUAAUUAAUUAGUUAAAUUUUAAAUUAUAAAAACAAAUUUCACCAAUAAAAUAAUGACACAUUUCACAAAAAAAUUUUAAAAUUUUAUUUAAAUCUUUAAAAAAGAAUUCAUUAUUUCUCAUCCUUUUUUAUUUUUUUAUUUUUUUAAUCAUAACAACAUCUUUAAGAAACUACCAUUAGGGUAGUUUUUUUAAUAAGAAAACAAAAACUUAUUUUUACGCUAAAAUUUGUUAUUCAGUCUCUGCUACUUUGUUAUUUGGAGACAAACUCUGUUUUAAACUAUUUUCAUUUUUCGGAUUCAGUGAUACUCAGAUCAAUAAGAAAAGUUAUAUGAGUGAAAAACAAAAUCUUGCUUUCCAUUUUAUUAUUCAAAAUAUUUUAUUAUUAUUAUUAUUAAAAAAAAGAAAAGUUCGGAUUACAAAAUGAAAUAAAACAACAUAAAAUUACUAGUAAAAUUUACCACGAAGCACGACUUAGACCAUCAUGCAAUAUGUAGAUUUGAAUUCAGAUACAGACACAUCAACGACACUAUUACAAACCUCUUGACUAUGUAUACAUGUUCUUAUCCGAUUAUAAUCAUCAAUGACUUUUUUUAAUGAGAAUUUGAUUAUGUAAAUUUUGAAUCAUCACUAAUAAUGUUAUUUCAUCAAUAAAUUUCUGUUUUAUUCUAUUUUCACCACCGUUUACAUCUAGUAGUUGAAUCUACCAAAAACAUUCACUUAACACGACGAAUCAAGACCUGAUCCAUUCAGGUCCAGACUUAAUCGGAACCGAAUUUAUAAACUAGGUGCAAUAAAACUGUCCAAGUUCGGAUAUGUCUUUAUCAAAUUUACCUUUGGAGUUCAGGAGAGUUUCUACUUUAUCCAGAUGUUCUUUAGAAAUGGUUCAACUGCACCAGUACACAACAGAUCAGACAUAUUUCUUGAUGCUUCCACUUUCCAUUUCCAGCACCAAAUAGAUUAAAUAGGAUCAUUGAAUUUACUCUUUUUGAUUUACAUGAACCAGCUUGCUUGGAGACAUUCUACACAGACCAAGUACUUCAAAGAAAACACAAAUUCAUGUCCAAAAUAUUUAGGUACAAGAAACUUCACAUUCUCCAUAUUUAACAAGACCGAUGUAUAAUGGUCAUUUUACUCAAUAAACUUCGAUUAAUUUCACAUUUAAAUUGUUUUUCAUUUAUUUUCUUUGUUUAAGCUUGUAAAAACGUAUCUAGGAGAACUAUAUAAUCUCGUAGGAUAUAAUCUCAAUCAUCAAUUCCCUUGUAAUAUUCAUGAAUCAUUUUAUUAAUAGUCAAUAAAUCAAUUUGUUUUUUUUUUUUGAAAAUGUAAAAUUUAUUCAUCAAAAAAUCUCUUUACAAAGAAUGCUUAUUUGGUUCUAAAAAAUUGAAAUCAAAACAACAUUAGAUUAGAAAUUUGUGCUAACUCGACUCUGAAACUUUAGCGGGUGGAGAAUCACCAAGUUAGACCAUCAUCGUAUCUGGUACCACUUGUCAUUCGGAUGGAAGAAACUCUGUUAUGCACUCCCUUGUCGAUAAAGUGAAUUAGCUGUAGAGGUGAUUGUGGUUGAUCACUAUGACCUCUUCCAUUUCGCUUGCGCCAAAUAGUGUGUACUGCCAGUUGGAAGACGUAUCUGAAUAGUAGAGGGGUUGAACUUAGCGUUGAGUCAGAGAGGAGAAGAACCAGACUAUCCCAAUCUGUGGAGAAGCUAUCGAUGAGUAGAUUGGACGCAAGAUUGGUCCAAAUCAAAUUGUUUUCUUUUUUAAAGCUUCGCCUUUCUGUUUUAUUCUCUAAUGUUCAUAAGUGCAAUUAUUUGAUCUUUUGUGUUUUUGUUAUUUAGAGUGUGUGUGAAUCAAACCACUUUUGGUCAUGGGAGGAAAGCCUUGAUCCAUGCGAGGAAAAUCUCUUAGAUCAACUCCUUUGUCCAUUGAUAUAUUUGGACCUGACACAAUCUUCAUCCAUCAAUAUAUCAACAUUAUCUUCAUCCAUCAAUAUAUAAUUUUAAAUCUUUAUGUGCUAUAAGUUUGGUGGCUUCUAAUCUUACAUCAAAUCUCGCAUAGGAGAAGAGAUCGAGCAAGUUUUACGACUUCUUUGCUUCUAACGAUAAAGAAGACAAAUGUACUUAGUGAUGACAGAAAAAGUUCCGAAAUGUAGAAGAAACUAUAUGGCUAUUAUCAUUUAAUCUUGAUGGUGAAGUUACUGUGCUUUGGAUACAAGUUACACAUGUAGAAAACAAUUUAGAACUCUUUAAUUUUUAAAUAAUUUGAAAAUAAAAGACCACAAUCUUUAAAAAAAUUCACCAUAAAUAAAUGAUGUUGGAAAAAACCAUUGAUAUAGAAAUCCAACAAAAAAAAUUUUAAGAAAGAAAAAUAUAGAUCAUAUAUUAUUAGAUUAUCAUUGAAAUCUAAAAAUUUAUAUUAAGAAAUAAAAAAAUGAACACACAGAUUUUUGUGACAUUUUAGAUGGAAAGUGUAUUAAAGUGUUUAGACAAAACUAAUAAAUUAGUAAUAAUAAGAUAAAAGUUAUAAAUUCAUUAAAACAUAUAUAUAUAUAUAGGGUAUUCUUGUGCAUCUAAUAUAAUAAGAUCUAUGGAUUGUGUUCCACCCAAUUAAGUUUUCUUUUUUUGCUGUAAUUUUUCAGUUUUGUGAAGUAAUUAACAAAUAAUAUUAAUUGUUUUAAAUAAUUAUGCCUCUGAUAAAGAUUUUGUAUUGAAAACAUUUUCCACCCAAUUAGUGAUAGUAAGAUUUCUAACUUAAUUUAGGGAUGUGGUCUAUUUUUUCCCUAAAAAGCAAAUAAGUAAAGACUUAUUUGUUGUAUAAAUAUACAGUGUCUUGCCUUACCUUCUCUUAUAUUUUCCAUCUCUCAAAGCUUCCGAGAUAAAUUAAAAAAUACAGUUGAAAAACAAGAAAUUCUUCUCGUCAAAAAUGGCAUCUGGUAUGUUUUUUCCUUGUUGUGAUUAUUCAUGCUUCUUCCAUAGUUAUCAAAAUUGCUCGACUAUUUACUCGUUACAUAUUUUCUGCGUGAAACUAAUUCGUAAAUUUACGUAUGAUAACCACAUAUAUAUACAGGGAGUAGAGUUAUGAACAACGUGUACAUUGUUGAGCCCAUAGGAGUUCAUAAAGCCACUAUAGUCUGGCUGCACGACAUCGGGCUCAAAGGCGUCGAGUAACACUCUCACUGUCUCCCAUGCUUUGUUUUGUAUUGUUUUAUUUGCUCUCUUUUUUUCCUAAAAUAUAUGCUCUUUUGUUUUCAAAACUCUCGAAUUUUGUACAUUUCCUCUCUAUUUUCUUUUCUUGUUAGAUAAUAAUAAGUUUGUUUCACUAAAGUUGUAUAUACAUUACAUAUUAUACACACUAUAUAUAUUUUAAUUAAUCUAUUAUGUAUGCAGCUCAGUUCAGCCUCUGCAAAGUUUGGGUCUUCCCAAUGUAAGGAUCCAUACAGAUACAUGUGUUUGCCAUGAAUUUAAUUUCUUUUUAUAUAUAGCCACAAUGGAAACUAUGAAUUUUCUAAUAAAAAUAUAUGAUUUGGCAUAGAUAAAAUGGAUUUGUCCGACUGCUCCUACACGCCGUGUUACUUCUUUGGGUGGCGAAGAAACCACUGCAUGUACGAUUAAUUGGCUAUAGAUAUACAUAUAUUAUUUUGUUUCUUCUAAAUCAGUAUUUGAUGUCUCUAAAAUAUUACUAAUUAAAAUGGAAAACUAAUAAUACAGUAUUCAUAAUCCUUUAUGGUGAAUCAGGGUGCGAUAUCACAAAAGUUUCAGAGAGCAUGCAUCAUGAUUUUGAAGCUUUAGAUAAUGUGAAUUCAUUUGUUGCUGGCCUUUUCUCUUCCGAACCAGAACAUGGUAAUUCGGAAUUAUCCACACUUAACAUGCAUAGUUUAGACUAUCUAUACAUCAAAUACAUAUAUAUGAUUAAAUAAUUAAUACUUUAAUGUUGAUUUUGGUAUAGUUAUUAAAGGUGUGGGAGGUGUCGGCUUGGGUGCAGCACAAGCUCUCUACUUUGCGAGUAACUAUGCCUUUGGACGAGUCACCAUAAACCUAAAAAUUGUUGUAGGGAUCAACGGUUGGCUUCCUAGCUGGACGUAAGCUCCUCAAGCCCUGAUGUAGUUUUCUCACAAUAUUUUAUUUAACUAUUCGUAUAUACCUUUUAAUAAUGGAAUACCAAAAUCGAUCAAUAAUCUUGUAGGACCUUACGAAACGAUAUGUAUUCUGCCUUUGGGACUUUUGUUCGUGCCGGAUCGCUAAUCUUACUUACAUAUGGGACUUGUAUGUCUUAUAAUAAGUUACAUUAUAUAUAUGUCUUCUUUACAAUUUAAGUUAGUAUUUAAAAAACGAGAUCAUGCUAUUUCUUGGUUUUUGUUGUUGUUGUUGUGUCACUUGCAGCUGAUGAUGUAGCUUUCUCAGCAUUUGCACGCAUCUGCGCUGACUCCCUUCACUUGGCUGGAUUUCCAAUCAUUCACAAACAAUGCGGAGGGUCUAUAUUCAUAAAUUACUUUAUUUAUUUCACUUAUUUAUUUUUUUUUAAUUAUUACCAUCUUUUAACAUAUUGUUCUUCUCUGAAUUAUGUCAUGUGCAGGGAUCAUGUCAUGAAUGAUCUUCGCGUAGCACUCCCGCAAUAUCUUAGGCUCUGAUGAGGAUAUUGCUAAACUCUGCAUCCUGAAAAGAAUAUGGAAUAAAAUUAUCGUAAAACUUUAGCUUUUAUUUUUAUUUCUUUGCUAUUCAUAAAUUAUAUAAUUGUUAAUGUAUUUUUUCAUUUUUAUCCUUCAAAAACUGAAGUUUAUUUUCAGUUUUCUGUUAUAUCAAUAUAUCAUAUGAAAAGGUUAUUAUAUUGUCAAUGGUACUAACAAAAGAGGAAGAUGUAAAAUUGGUGAAAUAACAUAUUGAUUUAAAAAAGUGGGUAAGUGGUAUAAAUAAAGACAUACAUACAGUGUUGUACUACCAAAAUAUCAAUUGUAACAUAUCCAAUUAAUUAACUAUCAAUUGAGAUUGUACAUACCUACCAUAUAUCGCUCUUUUCCCUCUCUUUUGAUGUGCCCUAUUCUCUCUUUGUCUGCGCCCUUUCUUCUCUAAUAUAUAUUGUCUAUUUAAUGGUGUACCAUACAAACUAUUUAUACUACGUUUAGAUAGAGUUUUAUUAUAUUUUCGUAACGCAUAAUUCCAUUCGAUAUACAUUUCUUAUAAUUGAUUUAAAGUAUGACAUGACAAUAUUUGUUAAAAUAUUUAGAACGUGUUGUAUCAAUGCAACAUAAGCUAAUAUUGUUGUGUUCACAUGUGUAUACUAAAUCAAAUUUAGAAUCACAUCAAAUACAAAUCUAUUCACCCGAUAAAACAUGUCUUUAUUAAACCAAACCAUCACAUAAUAGUGUACGUAUAAGCGCAUUUAAACAAUAAGCAUCAACAAAGAUCAACAUGCAGAACCACACAACACAAAACAAAAUCAAGACAAACAAACGUACAAAUCAAGAACAGAAAACAACUCUUCAUCUCACUUCCUCUAUGUCGCAUGAGUAGUGGUCGUAGUAGUAGAGGUUGGAGCUGAAGAAUCAUGUUCUUUGUUUCCUUCAUCUGUACCAAGCCCUAAAGUGUGCUUAACCGCAUCAGUAGCUCCCAUAGCCAUUUGCUUCACUUGCUCACCGGUUUGGCCCAAGAUCCCACCGGUCUUGUUCUUACCAGCUUCUGCAGUCUCCUUGGUAUAUUCUGCUGCAUCUUGUGCCUUGUUCUUAAUUGUUUCUCCUGUCUCUGACAUGUAGCUUCCCGUUUUGUCCUUGGACUCUUGAGCUUUCUGUUGAGUUGUUUGUGCGGCUUGAGAUGCCUUGUCUUUAGCUGCUUGAGCUGUUUCAUGGGUCUUUUGUUGGGCUGAUUGGGCUGCUCCUUGAGUUUUGUCCUUAGCUACAUCUGUCUUCUCCCCCAUCGCUCUCAUAGCUUGUCCUGUCUUCUCCUAUGAUUUGACAUUGGAUUUACAUUCAAGCAAAGGUUAAUAGAGUAAUUAACUUAAAUAUGUAAAUAGAUUGUGGCUAUUGUGUUAUUGUCACUCCUAUUCAACCUGUCUCUUUCUUAUUAUUUCAUCAUCUGAAUUCCAAAAAAAAAAAAAAAAUCAGCAUAGACACAUUGGUUGUCAACAAUCUUUUGUUGUUAUAUUAUCUAAUCAUGCAAAAAACAGACCUAUGCUUUUCUUUAUAUAAGAAAAGUUACUCAUGAGAAAACAUGUUUUCAGAAAUAUAAAGAACAGACUGUUUUAUCAAUUAAAGAACACGAUACGUCGUAAACUAGUGGCUUCAUUCAUUUUUCUUUGACCUAACUGACACCAUUUUUAUUUACUUUAUUAAUUGAAAAAAUAUUAUUGUAAUAUAGCAGGUGUAUCAUUUAGUAUACCUGAGUCUGGCCUCUGGUCUCACCAGCUUCGAAACCCUGUUCUUGAUGAGAAGCCAUUUUCUCUCGUCGAAUAAUUCGAAACCAAAAUAUUUAGUGGAAACUCGAAAGGCUGAUUGAUGAUCAAAAGCUGUUUAUCAGAACCUGUGUUGGAAGAUAUCUCCGACUCUUAUGUUUGAGACAUUUUAUAGCAAGUCUUGGUCGGCCCGAGAACAAGAGACAUGUUGCAGAUGUCUCGACACGUGUGAAGCCACGCGUCGCGAUUAGGUUAGCGAAACGAAGUUCGAAACUUGGAGUAAUGUGCGAGUGUUGAAUGUUAGGUUAUCUUGUUUUUGAUGACGACCUAUGUAGAGGUGCCACGCUAUAAUAAAAUAAUGUGUUACGGAAGAUGCUAGAUACGUGGCGAGUCACGUACAUGGAUUUUAUUUACUUAAUGCAUUACAAUAUUUAUACAAAGACUUAGGUAGUUACGUUCUUUAAUAAGAAAACAAAGACUUAUUAUUACGCUAAAAUUUGUUAUUCUAUCUGUUGCUCACCUCUGUUUUGGAGCUCAUGUAUUUCUAUUCAGUAAUCAGUCUCUGCUACUCUGUUAUUCGGAGACAAACUCCAUUUCAAAUUAUUUUCUUUUUUUGGGUUCAGUGAUAUUCAGAUGAAUAAGAAAUGUUAUAUAAGUGAAAAACAAAAAUUGCUUUCCAUUUUAUUAUCCAAAACAUUCCAUCAUUAUCAUUACCGAAAAAAAAGUUGGGAUUACAAUGUAAAACAAAACAACAUAAAAUUAUUAUAAUUUACUACGGAGUACGACUUAGACCAUCAUGCAAUAUGUAGAUUUGAAUUUAAAUUGAGAUACAUCAACGACAGUAUUACAAACCUCUCGACUAUGUAUAUAUGUUCUUAUCCGAUUAUAAUUAUCAAUGACUUUUUUUAAUGAGAAUUUGGUUAUGUAAAUUUUGAAUCAUCAUUAGUAAUAUCAUUUCAUCAAUAAAUUUCUGUUUUAUUAUAUUUUCACCACGGUUGUCAUCUAGUAGUUGAAUCUACGUAAAACAUUCAUUUAACACGGCGAACCAAUACCUGAUCUAUUCCGGUCCGGACUUAAUUGAAACCGAAUAUAUAAACCAAGUGUAAUAAAACUGUCCAAGUUCAUAUAUGUUUUUAUGUGGAUCAAUGCAAAUUUACAUUUGGAGUUUUGGAGAGUUUCUACUUUAUCCAGAUGUUCUUUAGAAAUGGUUCAACUGCACCAAUACACAACAAAUCAGGAAAAUUUCUUGAUGCUUCCACCUUCCAUAUCCGGCACCAAAUAGAUUAAAUAUGAUCAUUGAAUUUAUCUUUUUGAUUUACUUAACCAGCUUGCUAAUUGGAGACAUUCUACACAGACCAAAUACUUCAAAGAAAACACAAAUUAAUGUCCAAAAUACUUAGGUACAAGAAACUUCACGUUCUCCAUACUUAACAAGACCGAUGUAUAAUGGCCAUUUUACUCAAUAAACUUUGAUUGUUUUCCCAUUUAAAUUGUUUUAUUUAUUUAUUUUGUUUGUUUAAGCUUGUAAAAACGUAUAUAGGAGAACUAUAUAGUCUCGUAGGCUAUAAUCUCAAUCAUCAAUUCCCCUUGUAAUAUUCAUGAAUCAUUUUAUUAAUAGUUAAUAAAUCAUUUUUUUUAAGAAUGUAAAAUUUAUUCAUCAAAAAACGUCUUUACAAAGAAUACUUAUGUGGUUCUAAAAGAUUGAAAAAAUUGAAAUCAAAACAAUAUUAGAUUAGAAAUUUGUGUUAGCUCGACUCUGAAACUUCAAAUUAGAUUAGAAAUUUGUGUUAGCUCGACUCUGAAACUUCAGCGGAUGAAGAACCACCAAUGUUAGACCAUCAUUGUAUCUGGUACCACUCAUCAUUUGGAUGGAAGAAACUCUGUUUCACACUCCCUUGUCGAUAAAGCGAAUUAGCUGGAGAGGUGAUUGUGGUUGAUCACCAUGACCUCUUCCAUUUCGCUCACGCCAAAUAGUGUGUACUGCCAGUUGGAAGACAUAUCUGAAUAGGAAUAGAGGGGUUGAACUUAGCGUUGAGUCAGAGAGGAGAAAAACCAGACUAUCCCAAUCUGUGGAGAAGCUAUCGAUGAGUAGAUUGGACGCAAGAUUGGUCCAAAUCAAUUUGUUUUCUUUUUUAAAGCUUCGCCUUUCUGUUUUAUUCUCUAAAGUUCAUAAGUGAAAUAUUUGUUCUUUUGUGUUCUUGUUAUUUAGAGUGUAUGUGAAUCAAACCACUUUUGGUCAUGGGAGUAAAGCCUUGAUCCAUGCGAGGAAAAUCUCUUAGAUCAAGUCCUUUGUCCAUUCAUAUAUUUGGACCUUAAAGUGUAUUAUUUAUCAACAUUAACUUCAUCCAUCAAUAACUUUAAAUCUUUAUGUGCUAUAAGUUUGAUGGCUUCUAAUCUUACAUCAAAUCUCGCAUAGGAGAAGAUAUCGAGCAAACUUUAUGACUUCUUUGCUUCUAACGAUGAAGAAAACAAAUGUAUAUAGUGAUGACAGAAAAAGUUUCAAAAUUAAGAAGAAACUAUAUGGCUAUUAUCAUUUAAUAUUGAUGGUAAAGUUAUUGUGCUUUGGAUACCAGUUACACGUGUAGACGAUAAUUUAGAACUCUUUAAUUUUUAAAUAAUUUGCAAAUAAAAGACCACAAUAAAAAAAAUCACCAUAAAUAAAUGAUGUUAGAAAAAACCAUUAAUAUAGAAAUCCAACAAAAGUAUUUUUAAGAAAGAAAUAUAUAGAUUAUAUAUAUAUAUAUAUAUAUAUAUAUUAUUAGAUUAUCAUUGAAAUCUAAAAACUUUAUAUUAAGAAAGAAAAACUGAACACAGAUUUUUGUGACAUAUUAGAUGGAAAGUGUAUUAAAGUGUUUAGACAAAAUUAAUUAGUAAUAAUAAGAUAAAAGUUAUUAAUUCAUUAAAACAUAUUUGAUGAGGUGCUAAGUGUUUUCUUUUAUUUUAUAUAUAUAUGGUAUUCUUGUGCAUCUAAUAGAAUAAGAUCUAUGGAUUGUGUUCCACCCAAUUAAGUUUUAUUUUUUUGCUGUAAUUCGUCAGUUAUGUGAAAUAACUGACAAAUAUUAUUAAUUGUUUUAAAUAAAUUAUGCCUCUGAUAAAGAUUUUGUUUUGAAAACAUUUUCUACCCAAUUAGUGAUAGUAAGAUUUCUAACUUAAUUUAGGGAUGUGGCCUUUUUUUCCUAAAAAACAAAUAAGUAAAGACUCAUUUGUUGUAUAAAUAUACAAUGUCUUGCCUUACCUUCUCUUAUAUUUCCCAUCUCUCAAAGCUUCCGAGAUAAAUUAAAAAAUACAGUUGAAAAACAAGAAAUUCUUCUCGUCAAAAAUGGCAUCUGGUAUGUUUUUUCCUUGUUGUGAUUAUUCAUGCUUCUUCCAUUGUUAUCAAAAUUGCUCGACUAUUUACUCGUUACAUAUUUUCUGCGUGAAACUAAUUCGUAAAUUUACGUAUGAUAACCACAUAUAUAUACAGGGAGUAGAGUUAUGAACAACGUGUACAUUGUUGAGCCCAUAGGAGUUCAUAAAGCCACUAUAGUCUGGCUGCACGACAUCGGGCUCAAAGGCGUCGAGUAACACUCUCACUGUCUCCCAUGCUUUGUUUUGUAUUGUUUUAUAUGCUCUCUUUUUUUUCCUAAAAUAUAUGCUCUUUUGUUUUCAAAACUCUCGAAUUUUGUACAUUUCCUCUCUAUUUUCUUUUCUUGUUAGAUAAUAAUAAGUUUGUUUCACUAAAGUUGUAUAUACAUUACAUAUUAUACACACUAUAUAUAUUUUAAUUAAUCUAUUAUGUAUGCAGCUCAGUUCAGCCUCUGCAAAGUUUGGGUCUUCCCAAUGUAAGGAUCCAUACAGAUACAUGUGUUUGCCAUGAAUUUAAUUUCUUUUUAUAUAUAGCCACAAUGGAAAUUAUGAAUUUUCUAAUAAAAAUAUAUGAUUUGGCAUAGAUAAAAUGGAUUUGUCCGACUGCUCCUACACGCCGUGUUACUUCUUUGGGUGGAGAAGAAACCACUGCAUGUACGAUUAAUUGGCUAUAGAUAUACAUAUAUUAUUUUGUUUCUUCUAAAUCAGUAUUUGAUGUCUCUAAAAUAUUACUAAUUAAAAUGGAAAACUAAUAAUACAGUAUUCAUAAUCCUUUAUGGUGAAUCAGGGUGCGAUAUCACAAAAGUUUCAGAGAGCAUGCAUCAUGAUUUUGAAGCUUUAGAUAAUGUGAAUUCAUUUGUUGCUGGCCUUUUCUCUUCCGAACCAGAACAUGGUAAUUCGGAAUUAUCCACACUUAACAUGCAUAGUUUAGACUAUCUAUACAUCAAAUACAUAUAUAUGAUUAAAUAAUUAAUACUUUAAUGUUGAUUUUGGUAUAGUUAUUAAAGGUGUGGGAGGUGUCGGCUUGGGUGCAGCACAAGCUCUCUACUUUGCGAGUAACUAUGCCUUUGGACGAGUCACCAUAAACCUAAAAAUUGUUGUAGGGAUCAACGGUUGGCUUCCUAGCUGGACGUAAGCUCCUCAAGCCCUGAUGUAGUUUUUUCACAAUAUUUUAUUUAACUAUUCGUAUAUACCUUUUAAUAAUGGAAUACCAAAAUCGAUCAAUAAUCUUGUAGGACCUUACGAAACGAUAUGUAUUCUGCCUUUGGGACUUUUGUUCGUGCCGGAUCGCUAAUCUUACUUACAUAUGGGACUUGUAUGUCUUAUAAUAAGUUACAUUAUAUAUAUGUCUUUUUUACAAUUUAAGUUAGUAUUUAAAAAACAAGAUCAUGCUAUUUCUUGGUUUUUGUUGUUGUUGUUGUGUCACUUGCAGCUGAUGAUGUAGCUUUCUCAGCAUUUGCACGCAUCUGCGCUGACUCCCUUCACUUGGCUGGAUUUCCAAUCAUUCACAAACAAUGUGGAGGGUCUAUAUUCAUAAAUUACUUUAUUUACUUCAUUCAUUUAUUUUUUUUAAUUAUUACCAUCUUUUAACAUAUUGUUCGUCUCUGAAUUAUGUCAUGUGCAGGGAUCAUGUCAUGAAUGAUCUUCGCGUAGCACUCCCGCAAUAUCUUAGGCUCUGAUGAGGAUAUAGCUAAACUCUGCAUCCUGAAAAGAAUAUGGAAUAAAACUAUCGUAAAACUAUAGCUUUUAUUUUUAUUGCUUUGCUUUUCAUAAAUUAUAUACUUGUUAAUGUAUUUUUUUUCAUUUUUAUCCUUGAAAAACUGAAGUUUAUUAUCAGUUUUCUGUUAUAUCAUAUAUCAUAUCUAAAGGUUAUUAUAUUAUCAAUGGUGAACUAACAAAAGAGGAAGAAGGAAAAUUGGUGUAAUAACAUAUUGAUUUAAAAAAGGGGGUUAGUGGUAUAAUAUAGACAUACAUACAGUGUUGUACUACCAAAAUAUCAAUUGUAACAUAUCCAAUUAAUUAACUAUCAAUUGAGAUUGUACAUACCUACCGUCGCUCUUUACGCUCUCUUUUGAUGUGCCCUAUUCUCUCUUUGUGUGUCUGCGCCCUUUCUUCUCUAAUAUUGUUUAUUGAGAUUGUACGUAAUGGUGUGCCAUACAAACUAUUUAUACUAUUUUUAGAUAACUUUUUAUUAUUUUUCGUAACGCAUAAUUCCAUUCAAUAUACAUUUCUUAUAAAUGAUUUAUGUAUGACAUGACAAUAUUUGUUAAAAUAUUUAGAACGUGUUGUAUGAAUACAACAUAAGCUAAUAUUGUUGUGUUCACAUGUGUAUACUAAUCAAAUUCAGAAUCACAACAAAUGUAAUUCUAUUCACCGGAUAAAACAAGUCUUCAAUUAACCAAACCAUUACAUAACAAUGUACGUAUAAACGGAUUUAAACCCAAUAAGCAACAACGAAAAUCAACAUGCAGAAUCACACAACACAAAACAAAAUAAAAUAAAAAUAAACGUAUAAGCAAGAACAGAAAAUAACUCUUCAUCUCACUUCCUCUCUGUCGCAUGAGUAUUGGUAGUAGUAGAGGUUGGAGCUGAAGAAACGUGUUCUUUGUUUCCUUCAUCAGUACCAAGCCCUAAAGUGUGCUUAACCGCAUCAGUAGCUCCCAUAGCCAUUUGCUUCACUUGCUCACCGGUUUGGCCAAAGAUCCCACCGGUCUUGUUCUUACCAGCUUCUGCAGUCUCCUUGGUAUAUUCUGCUGCAUCUUGUGCCUUGUUCUUAAUUGUUUCUCCUGUUUCUGACAUGUAGCUUCCCGUUUUGUCCUUGGACUCUUGAGUUUUCUGUUGAGUUGUUUGUGCGGCUUGAGAUGCCUUGUCUUUAGCUGCUUGAGCUGUUUCAUGGGUCUUUUGUUGGGCUGAUUGGGCUGCUCCUUGAUUUUUGUCCUUAGCUGCAUCUGUCUUCUCCUCCAUCGCUCUCAUAGCUUGUCCUGUCUUCUCCUAUGAUUUGAUAUUGGAUUUACAUUCAAACAAAGGUUGAUAGAGUAAUUAACUUAAAAUAUGUGAAUAGAUUGUGGCUAUUGUGUUAUUGUCACUCCUAUUCAACCUGUCUAUAUCUUAUUCUUUGAUUAUCUGAAUUCCAACAUAGACACAUUGGUUUUCAACAAUCUUUUGUUGCUAAUCAUGCAUAAAACAGACCUAUGCUUUUCUUUAUAUAAGAAAAGUUACUCAUGAGAAAACAUGUUUUCAGAAAUAUAAAGAACAGACUGUUUAUCAAUUAAAGAACACGAUAUAUCGUAAACUAGUGGCAUUUUUCUUUGACCAAACUGACACCAUUUUUAUUUUACUUUAUUUUUUUGAAAAAUAUUAUUGUAAUAUAGCAGAUGAAUCAUUUAGUAUACCUGAGUCUGGCCUCUGGUCUCACCAGCUUCGAAACCCUGUUCUUGAUGAGAAGCCAUUUUCUCUCGUCGAAUAAUUCGAAACCAAAAUAAUUAGUGGAAACUCGAAAGGCUGAUUGAUGAUCAAAAGCUAUUUUUCAGAACCUGUGUUGGAAGAUAUCUCCGACUCUUAUGUUUGAGACAUUUUUUAGCAAGUCUUGGUCGGCCCGAGAACAAGAGACAUGUUGCAGAUGUCUCGACACGUGUCAAACCACGCGUCGCGAUUAGGUUAGAGAAAUGAAGUUCGAAACUUGGAGUAAUGUGCGAGUGUUGAAUGUUAGGUUAUCUUGUUUUUGAUGACGACCUAUGUAGAGGUGCCACGCCAUAAUAAAAAAUGGUGUUACGGAAGAUGCUAGAUACGUGGCGAGUCACGUACAUGGAUUUUAUACAAAGACUUAGGUAGUUACUAGCCCUGGGCUUUCGGAUAUUCGGUUCGGUUCCGGGUAAGAACCGAACGGUUCCGGAUAUUUCGGUUCUCAUGUUUUAGAUUCAUAUAGGUAUUGAAUUGUUUUCGGUUCGGUUCCGGUUCGGUACCUCUCGGUUCCGGAUCGGUUCGGGUAUGAAGGAUGAGAACCGUAAAAUACCCAAAAGAUUUCGGUUCUUAAAUACCCAAAAAAAUUUUGUUAACAAAAUAACCAAAUAACAAAAAAGAAGCAUGACUUGCGACUCUUGUGACCUGAAACUGCAAAAACAAAACAAAAAGACUUAAAAAAAUUAUUAGAAUCAUUAACAAAGAAGAAGUUAGCACUCAUAAUCUCAGAUAUUAGACUCACAGUUAACAUCAUAUGGAUUUCAUAUAUAAAUAGUAAACCCUAAAUCUAUUUCUAAGUGAAGAGACUCUAUAGACUCGAUUAUUCAAGAGUAAUUCGUUGUAAAAACGAAAAAACAAAGAGGAAAUGAGAUCAAUUUAAAAUUUAAACAAACAGAAACAGUUAGCCCCAAAAUCGAUUUUAGCUAUAAACAGUAAACCCCAAACCCAAAUAAAUUCAAAGAUGAGAAGGAGAUGGAAAAGAAGCAUACCCCGACUGAUUUUUUAACGUAGCAGAUGGCUGUGUCGGCGAAGAAAUGCUACAGCGACUGAAAAUUAGGGAUUUCAGUUUUUCUGAAUGAUUUAGAGUUAAUUUUUUAAGUACUAACGAGAGAAAAAAGAGAAACUGUUUUUCUUUUUACAACGAUAAGUUGCAUGUGUAGGUGUAUAGUUUUGUGUAUGUCUUUUUUUUCCCUCUUUGAAUAUGUGUCGAAUUGUGGAUAAUGGGCUAGAUCAAUUUUGUAAAAAUGACUUUGAAUUACUAAUGGGCCAAUAUUAGAUUUGUAGCAAACUAAUUGUUUAAUAUUAAUGAGUAAUGGCCCAAACUUAUACAUAAUUUUCGGGUAUUCGGUUCGGUAUUUUCGGUUCCGGGUAAUAACCGGAUCCGAACCGAUAUCCAUGGAUCUUAGAUAUGAGAUCCAAUGGGUAUUUAGGCAAUAACCGAAACCGAACCGAACCAAAAAUUUCGGGUCGGUUCCGAUUCGGUAUUUCGGUUCUGGUUCUUAUGCCCAGGGUGAGUAGUUACGUUCUUUAAUAAGAAAACAAAGACUUAUUAUUACGCUAAAAUUUGUUAUUCUAUCUGUUGCUCACCUCUGUUUUUGGAGCUCAUGUAUUUCUAUUUAGUAUUCAGUCUCUGCUACUCUGUUAUUCGGAGACAAACUCCGUUUUAUAUUAUUUUCUUUUUUGGGUUCAAUGAUACUCAGAUGAAUAAGAAAAGUUAUAUGAGUGAAAAACAAAAAUUGCUUUCCAUUUUAUUAUCCAAAAUAUUCCAUUAUUAUCAUUACCAAAAAAAAGUUCGGAUUACAAAGUAAAAUAAAACAACAUAAUAUUACUAUUAAAAUUUACCACGGAGCACGAUUUAGACCAUCAUAAUGUAGAUUUGAAUUUAAAUUGAGAUACAUCAACGACACUAUUACAAACCUCUCGACUAUGUAUAUAUGUUCUUAUCCGAUUAUAAUCAUCAAUGACUUUUUUAAUGAGAAUUUGGUUAUGUAAAUUUUGAAUCAUCACUAAUAAUGUCAUUUCAUCAAUAAAAUUGUGUUUUAUUAUAUUUUCACCAAUCUUUACAUCUAGUAGUUGAAUCUGCCAAAAUUAUUCACUUAACACGGUGAACCAAGACCUGAUCCAUUCAGGUCCAGACUUAAUCGAAACCGAAUUUAUAAACUAGAUGUAAUGUAAUAAUUAAAACUGUCCAAGUUCCCUUGUAAUAUUCAUGAAUCAUUUUAUUAAUAGUCAAUAAAUCAAAUUGUUUUAUUUUUUAUAAAAAAAAUGUAAAAUUUCAUCAAAAAAGCGUUUUUACAAAGAAUGCUUAUGUGGUUCUAAAAAAUUGAAAUCAAAGCAAAAUUAGACUAGAAAUUUGUGCUAGUUGGACUCUGAAACUUUAGCGGGUGGAGAACCACCAAGUUAGACCAUCAUCGUAUCUGGUACCACUCGUCAUUCGGAUGGAAGAAACUCUGUUCUGCACAAGGGAACAUUCCCUUGUCGAUAAAGCGAAUUAGCUGGAGCGGUGAUUGUGGUUGAUCACUCUGACCUCUUCCAUUUUGCUCGUGCCAAAUAGUGUGUACUGCCAGUUGGAAGACAUAUCUGAAUAAGAAUAGAGGAGUUGAACUUAGCGUUGAGUCAGAGAGGAGAAGAACCAGACUAUCUUAAUCUGUGGAGAAGCUAUCGAUGAGUAGAUUGGACGCAAGAUUGGUCCAAAUCAAUUUUUUUUCUUUUUUAAAGCUUUGUCUUUCUGUUUUAUUCUGUAAAGUUUAUAAGUGAAAUUAUUUAUUUUUUUGUGUUCUUGUUAUUUAGAGUGUAUGUAAAUCAAACCACUUUUGGUCAUGGGAGGAAAUCCUUGAUCCAUCCCAGGAAAUCUCUUAGAUUAAGUCCUUUGUCCAUUGAUAUAUUUGGACCUUACACAAUCUAAGUGUAUUAUAUAUCAACAUUCUCUUCAUCCAUCAAUAUAUGUAAUUUUAAAUCUUUAUGUGCUUUAAGUUUUGUGGCUUCUAAUCUUACAUCAAAAUCUCGCAUAGGAGAAGAGAUCGAGCAAGAUUUACGACUUCUUUAUUUCUAACGAUGAAGGGACAAAUGUAUAUAGUGAUGAUCGAAAAAGUUCCAAAAUUUAGAAGAAACUAUAUCGUUAUUAUCAUUUAAUAUUGAUGGUGAAGUUACUGUGCUUCAGAUACCAAUUACACGUGUAGAAGACAAUUUAGAACUCUUUGAUUUUUAAAUAAUUUGAAAAUAAAAGACCACAAUCUUUUAAAAAAGUCACCAUGUUGGAAAAAACCAUUGAUAUAGAAAUCCAACAAAAAUACUUUUAAGAAAGAAAAAUAUAGAUCAUAUAUCAUUAGAUUAUCAUUGAAAUCUAAAAACUUUAUAUUAAGGAAAAAAAACUGAAUACAUAGAUUUUGUGACAUUUUAUAUGGAAAGUGUAUUAAAGUGUUUAGACAAAACUAAUUAGUAAUAGUAAGAUAAAAGUUAUAAAUUCAUUAAAACAUAUUUGAUGAGGUGCUAAGUGUUUUCUUUUAUUAUAUAUAUGGUAUUCUUGUGCAUCUAAUAGAAUAAGAUCUAUGGAUUGUGUUCCACCCAAUUAAGUUUUUUUUUUUGCUGUAAUUCGUCAGUUUUGUGAAAUAACUGACAAAUAUUAUUAAUUGUUUUAAAUAAAUUAUGCCUUUGAUGAAGAUUUUGUUUUGAAAACAUUUUCUACCCAAUUAGUGAUAGUAAGAUUUCUAACUUAAUUUAGGGAUGUGGUCUAUUUUUUCCUAAAAAGCAAAUAAGUAAUGACUCAUUUGUUGUAUAAAUAUACAAUGUCUUGCCUUACCUUUUCUUAUAUUUUCCAUCUCUCAAAGCUUCUGAGAUAAAUUAAAAAAAUACGGUUAAAAAACAAGAAAUUCUUCUCGUCAAAAAUGGCAUCUGGUUAUGUUUUUUCCUUGUGAUUAUUCAUGCUUCUUCCAUAGUUAUCAAAAUUGCUCGACUAUUUUCUCGUUACAUAUUUUCUGCGUGAAACUAAUUAGUAAAUUUACGUAUGAUAACCACAUAUAUAUACAUGUAGUAGAGUUAUGAACAACGUGUACAUUGUUGAGCCUAUAGGAGUUCAUAAAGCCACUAUAGUCUGGCUGCACGACAUCGGGCUCAAAGGCGUCGAGUAACACUCUCAUUGUCUCCCAUGCUUUGUUUUGUAUUGUUUUAUAUGCUCUCUUUUUUCGUAAAAUAUAUGCUCUUUUGUUUUCAAAAUUCUCGAAUUUUGUACAUUUCCUCUCUAUUUUCUUUUCUUGUUAGAUAAUAAUAAGUUCGUUUCACUAAAGUUGUAUAUACAUUACAUAUUAUACACAUUAUAUAUUUUUUAAUUAAUUUAUUAUGUAUGCAGCUCAGUUCAGCCUCUGCAAAGUUUGGGUCUUCCCAAUGUAAGGAUCGAUACAGAUACAUGUGUUUGCCAUGAAUUUAAUUUCUUUUUAUAUAUAGCCACAAUGGAAACUAUGAAUUUUCUAAUAAAAAUAUAUGAUUUGGCAUAGAUAAAAUGGAUUUGUCCGACUGCUCCUACACGCCGUGUUACUUCUUUGGGUGGAGAAGAAACCACUGCAUGUACGAUUAAUUGGCUAUAGAUAUACAUAUAUUAUUUUGUUUCUUCUAAAUCAGUAUUUGAUGUCUCUAAAAUAUUACUAAUUAAAAUGGAAAACUAAUAAUACAGUAUUCAUAAUUCUUUAUGGUGAAUCAGGGUGCGAUAUCACAAAAGUUUCAGAGAGCAUGCAUCAUGAUUUUGAAGCUUUAGAUAAUGUGAAUUCAUUUGUUGCUGGCCUUUUCUCUUCCGAACCAGAACAUGGUAAUUCGGAAUUAUCUACACUUAACAUGCAUAGUUUAGACUAUCUAUACAUCAAAUACAUAUAUAUGAUUAAAUAAUUAAUACUUUAAUGUUGAUUUUGGUAUAGUUAUUAAAGGUGUGGGAGGUGUCGGCUUGGUUGCAGCACAAGCUCUCUACUUUGCGAGUAACUAUACCUUUGGAGGAGUCACCAUAAACCUAAAAAUUGUUGUAGGGAUCAACGGUUGGCUUCCUAGCUGGACGUAAGCUCCUCAAGCCCUGAUGUAGUUUUUCACAAUUUUUUAUUUAACUAUUCGUAUAUACCUUUUACUAAUGGAAAACCAAAAUCGAUCAAUAAUCUUGUAAGACCUUGCGAAACGAUAUGUAUUCUGCCUUUGGGACUUUUGUUCGUGCCGGAUCGCUAAUCUUACUUACAUAUGGGACUUGUAUGUUUUAUAAUAAAUUAAAUUAUAUAUAUAUGUCUUCUUUACAAUUUAAGUAAGUAUUUAGAAAACAAUCGCGAGAUCAUGCUAAUUCUUGGGGGUUUUUUUUUGUCGUUGUUGUGUCACUUGCAGCUGAUGAUGUAGCUUUCUCGGCAUUUGCACGCAUCUGCGCUGACUCCCUUCACUUGGCUGGAUUUCCAAUCAUUCACAAAUAAUGUGGAGGGUCUAUAUUUAUAAAUUACUUUAUUUUUUUCACUCAUAUAUAUUUUAGUUAUUACUAUCUUUUAACAUAUUGUUCUUCUCUGAAUUUUGGGUUAUGUCAUAUGCAGGGAUCACGUCAUGAAUGAUCUUCGCGUAGCACUCCCGCAAUAUUUUAGGCUCUGAUAAGGAUAUAGCUAAACUCUGCAUCUUGAAAGAAUAUGGAAUAAAACUAUCCUACAAGUGUUAUAGCUUUUAUUUUUAUUUCUUAGCUAUUCAUAAAUUAUAUAAUUGUUAAUGUAUUUUUCAUUAUUAUCCUUCAAAAACUGAAGUUUAUUUUCAGUUUUCUGUUAUAUCAUAUGUCAUAUAAAAAGGUUAUUAUAUUGUCAAUGGUGAACAAACAAAAGAGAAAGAAGUAAAAUUGGUGAAAUAACAUAUUGAUUAAAAAAAGUGGGUUAGUGGUAUAAUAUAGCCAUACAUACAGUGUUGUACUACCAAAAUAUCAAUUGUAACAUAUCCUUAACUAUCAAUUGAGAUUGUACAUACCUACCAUCGCUCUUUUCCCUGUCUUUUGAUGUGCCCUAUUCUCUCUUUGCGUCCUUUUUUCUCUAAUAUUCCUUCCCUUUUUUAUUAGUUGUCGUUUCUAGUUGUUGUUUUCAGUUUUCAAUGCAAUUACUUUUUAGGAUUAUUUUUAUUAUGUAAUUUAGUUUAUUAUUAAUUGAAUUAUGUUUAAAUAAAUAAUUAAUGAUGUUUUUAUAUUAAAAACUAAUACAAUUAAUAUUUUUUUAAUCUAUGUGCAUAACCUUAAUACGAAAACUAAAUAAAUCCGGAGGGAAUAUUUUCUACUGAGAUUGUACGUAACAAAGUGUACCAUACAAUCUAUUUACAAUCUAUUUAUACUAUUUUUAGAUAGGUUUUAUUAUAUUUUCGUAACGCAUAAUUCCAUUCAAUAUACAUUUCUUAUAAAUGAUUUAUGUAUGACAUGACAAUAUUUGUUAAAAUCAUUAGAACUUGUUGUAUCAAUAUUGUUGUGUAUACUAAUCAAAUUUAGAAUCACAUCAAAUACAAAUCUAUUCACCCGAUAAAACAAGUAUUUAAUUAACCAAACCAUUACAUAAUAGUGUUCGUAUAAGCGCAUUUAAACCCAAUAAACAACAACAAAGAUCAACAUGCAGAAUCACACAACACAAAACAAAAUCAAAACAAACAAACGUACAAAGCAAGAACAGAAAAAAACUCUUCAUCUCACUUCCUCUCUGUCGCAUGAGUAGUGGUCGUAGUAGUAGAGGUUGGAGCUGAAGAAUCAUGUUCUUUGUUUCCUUCAUCAGCACCAAGUCCUAAAGUGUGCUUAACCGCAUCAGUAGCUCCCAUGGCCAUUUGCUUCACUUGCUCACCGGUUUGGCCCAAGAUCCCACCGGUCUUGUUCUUACCAGCUUC